Molecule: ribosomal RNA, 207 nt
Filed under: uncultured bacterium
Lineage: Bacteria
Description: partial 16S ribosomal RNA
Rfam family: Bacterial small subunit ribosomal RNA
Source: RNAcentral
CACGUAGGCGGACCGAUCAGUCGGGGGUGAAAUCCCGGGGCUCAACCCCGGAACUGCCUUCGAUACUGUCGGUCUGGAGGAUGAGAGAGGCGAGUGGAAUUCCGAGUGUAGAGGUGAAAUUCGUAGAUAUUCGGAGGAACACCAGUGGCGAAGGCGGCUCGCUGGCUCAUUUCUGACGCUGAGGUGCGAAAGCGUGUGGAGCAAACA